This 235-nucleotide ribosomal RNA is filed under the name uncultured bacterium. RNAcentral's name for it is "partial 16S ribosomal RNA". It matches the Rfam family "Bacterial small subunit ribosomal RNA", at positions 99 to 334 of the family's 1533-position model. The record is from RNAcentral.
CAAACGGGUGCGGAACACGUACAGAACUUUCCUUUAAGCGGGGGAUAGCCCGGAGAAAUCCGGAUUAAUACCCCAUAGUAAUGUUAGGUGGCAUCACUUGAUAUUUAAAGAUUUAUCACUUAGAGAUGGCUGUGCGGCUGAUUAGGUAGUUGGCGGGGUAAAGGCCCACCAAGCCAUCGAUCAGUAACUGGUGUGAGAGCACGACCAGUCACACGGGCACUGAGACACGGGCCCG